Molecule: ribosomal RNA, 442 nt
Filed under: uncultured bacterium
Lineage: Bacteria
Description: partial 16S ribosomal RNA
Rfam family: Bacterial small subunit ribosomal RNA
Source: RNAcentral
CCUACGGGAGGCAGCAGUGGGGAAUAUUGGGCAAUGGGCGCAAGCCUGACCCAGCAACGCAGCGUGAAGGAAGAAUGCUCUCUGGUUGUUAACUUCCUUUUAUAGGGGAGUGCAGAAGACGGUACCUCUUGGAUAAGCUACAGCUAACUACGUGCGAGCAGCCGCGGUAAUACGGAGGUGCCAAGCGAUGUCCGGAUUUACUGGGUGUAAAGGGUGUGCAGCCGGGAAGAGAAGUCAGAUGUGAAAUCUCGCGGCUCAACCGCGGAACUGCAUUUGAAACUGUUUUUCUUGAGUACAGGAGAGGUAAGCGGAAUGCGUUGUGUAGCGGUGAAAUGCGUAGAUAUAACGAAGAACACCGGUGGCGAAGGCGGACGGCUGGACUGUAACUGACGGUGAUGCGCGAAAGUGUGGGGAGCAAACAGGAUUAGAUACCCGGGUAGUC